GAUGAACGCUAGCGGCAGGCCUAAUACAUGCAAGUCGAACGAGAUUAAGAGGCUUGCUUCUUAUGAAAGUGGCGCACGGGUGCGUAACGCGUAUGCAACCUACCUUAAUCAGGGGGAUAGCCCGAAGAAAUUCGGAUUAAGACCGCAUAAAAACACAGGAUAGCAUUAUCCAAUGUUCAAAUAUUUAUAGGAUUAAGAUGGACAUGCGUGUCAUUAGCUAGUUGGCGGGGUAACGGCCCACCAAGGCGACGAUGACUAGGGGAUCUGAGAGGAUGACCCCCCACACUGGUACUGAGACACGGACCAGACUCCUACGGGAGGCAGCAGUAAGGAAUAUUGGUCAAUGGAGGGAACUCUGAACCAGCCAUGCCGCGUGCAGGAAGACAGCCCUCUGGGUCGUAAACUGCUUUUAUUCGGGAAUAAACCUUUCUACGUGUAGGAAGCUGAAUGUACCGAAGGAAUAAGAAUCGGCUAACUCCGUG
RNAcentral lists this ribosomal RNA (482 nucleotides) under uncultured bacterium. RNAcentral's name for it is "partial 16S ribosomal RNA". It matches the Rfam family "Bacterial small subunit ribosomal RNA", at positions 28 to 507 of the family's 1533-position model. The record is from RNAcentral.